This 71-nucleotide transfer RNA is filed under the name Loxodonta africana (African savanna elephant). It matches the Rfam family "tRNA". Rfam says of the family: Transfer RNA (tRNA) molecules are approximately 80 nucleotides in length. Lineage: Eukaryota; Metazoa; Chordata; Mammalia; Proboscidea; Elephantidae. The record is from Rfam by way of RNAcentral.
GCACUGGUGGGUCAGUGGUAGAAUUCUUUCCUUUCACGUGGGAGCCCUGGGUUUGAUUCCUGGCCCGUGCG